Molecule: ribosomal RNA, 483 nt
Filed under: uncultured bacterium
Lineage: Bacteria
Description: partial 16S ribosomal RNA
Rfam family: Bacterial small subunit ribosomal RNA
Source: RNAcentral
AUUGAACGCUGGCGGCAGGCCUAACACAUGCAAGUCGAGCGGAUGAAGGGAGCUUGCUCCUGGAUUCAGCGGCGGACGGGUGGGUAAUGCCUAGGAAUCUGCCUGGUAGUGGGGGAUAACGUCCGGAAACGGGCGCUAAUACCGCAUACGUCCUGAGGGAGAAAGUGGGGGAUCUUCGGACCUCACGCUAUCAGAUGAGCCUAGGUCGGAUUAGCUAGUUGGUGGGGUAAAGGCCUACCAAGGCGACGAUCCGUAACUGGUCUGAGAGGAUGAUCAGUCACACUGGAACUGAGACACGGUCCAGACUCCUACGGGAGGCAGCAGUGGGGAAUAUUGGACAAUGGGCGAAAGCCUGAUCCAGCCAUGCCGCGUGUGUGAAGAAGGUCUUCGGAUUUAAAGCACUUUAAGUUGGGAGGAAGGGCAGUAAGUUAAUACCUUGCUGUUUUGACGUUACCAACAGAAUAAGCACCGGCUAACUUCGUG